Molecule: ribosomal RNA, 254 nt
Filed under: uncultured bacterium
Lineage: Bacteria
Description: partial 16S ribosomal RNA
Rfam family: Bacterial small subunit ribosomal RNA
Source: RNAcentral
UACGGGGGGAGCAAGCGUUGUUCGGAUUUACUGGGCGUAAAGGGCGCGUAGGCGGUCAGCACAAGUCAGUUGUGAAAUCUCCGGGCUUAACUCGGAAAGGUCAACUGAUACUGUGCGACUAGAGUGCAGAAGGGGCAACUGGAAUUCUCGGUGUAGCGGUGAAAUGCGUAGAUAUCGAGAGGAACACCUGCGGCGAAGGCGGGCUGCUGGGCUGACACUGACGCUGAUGCGCGAAAGCCAGGGGAGCGAACGGG